GUGAAAUUGAACUCGCUGUGAAGAUGCAGUGUACCCGCGGCAAGACGGAAAGACCCCGUGAACCUUUACUAUAGCUUGACACUGAACAUUGAGCCUUGAUGUGUAGGAUAGGUGGGAGGCUUUGAAGUGUGGACGCCAGUCUGCAUGGAGCCGACCUUGAAAUACCACCCUUUAAUGUUUGAUGUUCUAACGUGGACCCGUAAUCCGGGUUGCGGACAGUGUCUGGUGGGUAGUUUGACUGGGGCGGUCUCCUCCUAAAGAGUAACGGAGGAGCACGAAGGUUGGCUAAUCCUGGUCGGACAUCAGGAGGUUAGUGCAAUGGCAUAAGCCAGCUUGACUGCGAGCGUGACGGCGCGAGCAGGUGCGAAAGCAGGUCAUAGUGAUCCGGUGGUUCUGAAUGGAAGGGCCAUCGCUCAACGGAUAAAAGGUACUCCGGGGAUAACAGGCUGAUACCGCCCAAGAGUUCAUAUCGACGGCGGUGUUUGGCACCUCGAUGUCGGCUCAUCACAUCCUGGGGCUGAAGUAGGUCCCAAGGGUAUGGCUGUUCGCCAUUUAAAGUGGUACGCGAGCUGGGUUUAGAACGUCGUGAGACAGUUCGGUCCCUAUCUGCCGUGGGCGCUGGAGAACUGAGGGGGGCUGCUCCUAGUACGAGAGGACCGGAGUGGACGCAUCACUGGUGUUCGGGUUGUCAUGCCAAUGGCACUGCCCGGUAGCUAAAUGCGGAAGAGAUAAGUGCUGAAAGCAUCUAAGCACGAAACUUGCCCCGAGAUGAGUUCUCCCUGAGACUUAAAGUCUCCUGAAGGAACGUUGAAGACGACGACGUUGAUAGGCCGGGUGUGUAAGCGCAGCGAUGCGUUGAGCUAACCGGUACUAAUGAACCGUGAGGCUUAACCUUACAACGCCGAAG
RNAcentral lists this ribosomal RNA (907 nucleotides) under Salmonella enterica subsp. enterica serovar Derby. RNAcentral describes it as "partial 23S ribosomal RNA". It matches the Rfam family "Bacterial large subunit ribosomal RNA", at positions 2036 to 2925 of the family's 2925-position model. Lineage: Bacteria; Pseudomonadati; Pseudomonadota; Gammaproteobacteria; Enterobacterales; Enterobacteriaceae. The record is from RNAcentral.